UGGAUCCCCUGCCCCACUUUGUAUUAUUGUUCUUCUCUUAUACUGUCAAAUUUUCAUGGAUGGGAUCUGAUGAAUGAGUAUCCCGUGUCUGCGGCAACUCGCAUGGCCUGAUCCAGAAGUACGGGUGUGCUGCAGGGAUUGCUUCCGCAGCAACGCCAAGGACAUUGGCUUCAUCAAGGUUUGGGUAAAUUAUUCUUCACAUGCACAACCUGCCAUAAAUGAAUUGACGGUGCGCUCCUCUUGCUCGUUGCUAGGAAAGUGGCUUGGCCACCGCCAAAUUCGUACCCUGAGUUUUUAGGUUACCAGUUGACUGAUCUUAAUGUGAGUGCUAUCUUAGUUAUUAAUGUUC
Long non-coding RNA from Triticum dicoccoides, 349 nucleotides. RefSeq lists it as uncharacterized. Lineage: Eukaryota; Viridiplantae; Streptophyta; Magnoliopsida; Poales; Poaceae. The record is from RefSeq and is a predicted model, not a curated record. The transcript is spliced from 3 exons.